Molecule: long non-coding RNA, 443 nt
Organism: Dipodomys spectabilis (banner-tailed kangaroo rat)
Lineage: Eukaryota; Metazoa; Chordata; Mammalia; Rodentia; Heteromyidae
Exons: 3
Source: RefSeq, a predicted model, not a curated record
GCCUCUGGCAUGGCUCCGCCUGGAGGCCCAGCCUCAUCACAGCAUACCUGAAAGGCAGAGCAUGCUGAGUCCCUUCUUUGCAGCCAAGAAGCACGAGUAGCAUAAGAGCUGACUGCAAGAGCAGGAGGCAGGACCAAUCAACAUUCCCCCAGGGAGAAAGGAUGGGAGAGGAAGGAGUCCUGAGGAGAGUGUUCUGCAGAAUCUUCUCAUCCUGCCAGACAAGUGUUGUCACGCACUUCCUUCCUUCAUGAAUGUUCCGGAUCCAACCUGAACAGAUGUGCUCCUGUAGGGUGUGGGCAUUCCAGUGGGGGAAUUUCACUUUGGCACUGUCUGCUUCUAUGUUUUACCCAGGACUACUUAGAAACCUGUGCUUGGCAUGAGCACUCUGCUUUCCCUCCAGGGAAAGCUGGAGUCUCUUAGCCCCCAGGCCCCCACCUGCUGGG